Molecule: ribosomal RNA, 1116 nt
Filed under: Lentilactobacillus otakiensis
Lineage: Bacteria; Bacillati; Bacillota; Bacilli; Lactobacillales; Lactobacillaceae
Description: bacterial SSU rRNA
Rfam family: Bacterial small subunit ribosomal RNA
Source: RNAcentral
CAAGGCAAUGAUACGUAGCCGACCUGAGAGGGUAAUCGGCCACAUUGGGACUGAGACACGGCCCAAACUCCUACGGGAGGCAGCAGUAGGGAAUCUUCCACAAUGGACGAAAGUCUGAUGGAGCAACGCCGCGUGAGUGAUGAAGGGUUUCGGCUCGUAAAACUCUGUUGUUGGAGAAGAACAGGUGUCAGAGUAACUGUUGACAUCUUGACGGUAUCCAACCAGAAAGCCACGGCUAACUACGUGCCAGCAGCCGCGGUAAUACGUAGGUGGCAAGCGUUGUCCGGAUUUAUUGGGCGUAAAGCGAGCGCAGGCGGUUUCUUAGGUCUGAUGUGAAAGCCUUCGGCUUAACCGGAGAAGUGCAUCGGAAACCAGGAGACUUGAGUGCAGAAGAGGACAGUGGAACUCCAUGUGUAGCGGUGAAAUGCGUAGAUAUAUGGAAGAACACCAGUGGCGAAGGCGGCUGUCUGGUCUGUAACUGACGCUGAGGCUCGAAAGCAUGGGUAGCGAACAGGAUUAGAUACCCUGGUAGUCCAUGCCGUAAACGAUGAGUGCUAAGUGUUGGAGGGUUUCCGCCCUUCAGUGCUGCAGCUAACGCAUUAAGCACUCCGCCUGGGGAGUACGACCGCAAGGUUGAAACUCAAAGGAAUUGACGGGGGCCCGCACAAGCGGUGGAGCAUGUGGUUUAAUUCGAUGCUACGCGAAGAACCUUACCAGGUCUUGACAUCUUCUGCCAACCUAAGAGAUUAGGCGUUCCCUUCGGGGACAGAAUGACAGGUGGUGCAUGGUUGUCGUCAGCUCGUGUCGUGAGAUGUUGGGUUAAGUCCCGCAACGAGCGCAACCCUUAUUGUUAGUUGCCAGCAUUUAGUUGGGCACUCUAGCAAGACUGCCGGUGACAAACCGGAGGAAGGUGGGGAUGACGUCAAAUCAUCAUGCCCCUUAUGACCUGGGCUACACACGUGCUACAAUGGACGGUACAACGAGUCGCGAAACCGCGAGGUCAAGCUAAUCUCUUAAAGCCGUUCUCAGUUCGGAUUGUAGGCUGCAACUCGCCUACAUGAAGUUGGAAUCGCUAGUAAUCGUGGAUCAGCAUGCCACGGUGAAUACGUUCCCGGG